UUUGUUUUCUCUGGUCCAUCAAGGGAUCCCCUUCUUCUUGUGCUGAUUGAAGACCUUGCGAUCUCUCUUCCGCUUCCUCGGCUAAGUAACGUUCCAGAGUCAAUCACUAAAGAAAACUCAAUAAUCCCACGAUUUCCUCUUCACUGCAACUUUUGGAUUCUCUCAGUUUCAAACUCUAUAUAUCCUUUUGUUCUCUAGCUUUUCCUCUUUACCAAAAUUAUCAAAAUCAAAGAAUCUUGGCGAUCUUCUACACUCCAAGCUGUGAGAUUUCUUUACAAACAGUGGUCGCAAAGUUGAUUUUGUACAGAUGGAAUUGCUGAUGAUUCCUUGAGUGAUGAGACACCCACGUCAAGUUUUUAAACUUGAGCACUGAAACUUCACAUGAAGCAAAAUACGCUGGUGCACAGGACAAUAAAUCUUCUUAUAAUGAGGAUGUUGUACUAGGAAAUUAAGAAGCCUUUGGUCUCAUGCGUUUUCAUUCAAAAGAAGACCACAAUGAGCUACUCUAUUGUCUCGUGGGCGUGUACGGCAUGGUCAAACGGCUCAAAGUUCUCAUGGUAAGGACAUUGCUACUCUUUAUCUGUUUGGAUGUGACAUGGUGUUGGAUUGGGUGGAGCAAGAAGCACAUGUGGCAGGGUGUCGUUCGACGUCUGAAGCAGAGAGGUAUCAAGGGAGGAAGAGGAAGCAAGAGAACAAAGGGAAAUGGAGUAUAGACCUCCUAAGCAAGCAAUUUCAAGCAAGGUGUAUGAUUUGGACCUGAAUGGGUUCACGGAGUCGCAACUGCGGUACGAAAUCGUAACUGUUUGAGAUACUAGAUAUGUGGAUCCUACCUUCAUAUGAUUCGAAGUUUCUGUAGACCAAGAACCUUGUAGCUUCUGAGAAGAAGCGGCUUGGGUUUGCUUGAAGCUGAGAAGAAGAGGGCACAUGCUUUUGUCUAGCAAGUACGCCACGUUGCCAACUCUGUUUCUAAUCAGCGUGAGAUGGAUAGAAGUAAAAUGAGGGACAAACUUGAAGACAAAUUUCUAAGGG
Long non-coding RNA from Brassica napus (rape), 1029 nucleotides. RefSeq lists it as uncharacterized. The transcript has 6 exons. NCBI's taxonomy places the organism in Eukaryota, Viridiplantae, Streptophyta, Magnoliopsida, Brassicales, Brassicaceae. The record is from RefSeq and is a predicted model, not a curated record.